AUAGCAUGACGUGGACACUUGCAGAUGAGAUCUUUGAGUCUCUCCCAAGUCUCAUGAAAUAUCUCCCCAUCCAUUUGGGAAAAACUGAUAAUGGCUUUUCUGAUUU
Elaeis guineensis (African oil palm) is the source of this 106-nucleotide small nucleolar RNA. Lineage: Eukaryota; Viridiplantae; Streptophyta; Magnoliopsida; Arecales; Arecaceae. The record is from RefSeq and is a predicted model, not a curated record.